This 251-nucleotide ribosomal RNA is filed under the name uncultured prokaryote. RNAcentral's name for it is "partial 16S rRNA". It matches the Rfam family "Bacterial small subunit ribosomal RNA", at positions 525 to 775 of the family's 1533-position model. The record is from RNAcentral.
ACGGGGGAUGCAAGCGUUAUCCGGAUUUAUUGGGUUUAAAGGGUGCGUAGGCGGUUUGAUAAGUCAGCGGUGAAAUAUUUCAGCUUAACUGAAAGGGUGCCGUUGAUACUGUCAGGCUUGAAUAUGGUUGCUGUGGGUGGAAUGUGUGGUGUAUCCGUAAAAUGCUUAGAUAUCACACAGAACAUCGAUUGCGGAGGCGUCUAACAAACCCAUUAUUGACGCUGCUGCACUAAAGUGUGGGGAUCAAACAG